Molecule: ribosomal RNA, 253 nt
Filed under: uncultured bacterium
Lineage: Bacteria
Description: partial 16S ribosomal RNA
Rfam family: Bacterial small subunit ribosomal RNA
Source: RNAcentral
UACGGGGGGUGCGAGCGUUGUCCGGAUUUAUUGGGCGUAAAGAGCUCGUAGGCGGUUUGUCGCGUCGGCCGUGAAAUCUCCACGCUUAACGUGGAGCGUGCGGUCGAUACGGGCAGACUUGAGUUCGGUAGGGGAGACUGGAAUUCCUGGUGUAGCGGUGAAAUGCGCAGAUAUCAGGAGGAACACCGGUGGCGAAGGCGGGUCUCUGGGCCGAUACUGACGCUGAGGAGCGAAAGCGUGGGGAGCGAACAGG